Long non-coding RNA from Bombina bombina (fire-bellied toad), 786 nucleotides. RefSeq lists it as uncharacterized. The record is from RefSeq and is a predicted model, not a curated record. Lineage: Eukaryota; Metazoa; Chordata; Amphibia; Anura; Bombinatoridae. The transcript is spliced from 2 exons.
GCUUUUUUCGCAAUGGAUAGCAAGAGAAUGAAGCAAAUUAAAUAGAAGUAAAUUAAAAAGUUGGUUAAAAUUACAUGCUCUUUCUAAAUCCUGAAAGAAAAAUGUGGGUUUAGUAUCCCUUUAAAUGAGAAACCUAUUUGUUUUAUAGAUUGCCACAGUUAAAUUAUGUCUUAUUCCAGCAGGUCAUCUCAACAACUAAUAUGCGUAUAAAGAAUUCUUAUAAAUUUUACUCCAAAGGGAAACAGCCAGUCUUGUUUUUUGGUAUCCUGCAAACACUGUAUGUUAUCAUUUACAUGUUAGGGGAAACUGCUUUGUUUGUGCCUCAAUAGCCAUUCGAUACAUAGACAAAUCAGCAACAUCCCUUUCAUUGCAGGUAGGCAUCACCCCUACCCAACAACUAAUAUUCAUGCAGAUGGUACAAGCAGUUUUUGUACCUUUUUGUAUACUAGUCUUACAUAUUCUGGCGAGUGGACUUCCAGUUCUAGAAUGGCAACAUUCACAUGUUCCAGGUAAGCCAGUGUGGUCUGUAUUAUAAUUUAAUGGUUAGACAAAUUGGUUUUAGCUCACUGGAUCUCAAACCCAAUCAUGCCUGAGCUCUAACUAGGUACAUUAAAGAGAUAGUGUAGUCAAAAUUAAACUUUCUUGAUUCAGACAGAGCAUGCAAUUUUAAUCAACUUUCUUAUUUACACCUAUUAAUUUUUGUUCUCUUGGUACCUUUAUUUCAAAAUCGGGAAUGUAACCAUUAAAUUUGACAUUUCAACAACACAAAAUGUUUCAUUACUGCAA